GACGAACGAGGGCGGAGGGAGGAAAAAAGGAAACUCGAAGUGUAAGGCCCCUUUGGGGGUACUCGAGUGGCGAACGGGUGAGUAACACGUGAGUAACCUGCCCUUGACUUCGGGAUAACUUCAGGAAACUGGGGCUAAUACCGGAUAGGAAUCCUUGCUGCAUGGUGGGGGUUGGAAAGCUUCGGCGGUUUUGGAUGGACUCGCGGCUUAUCAGCUUGUUGGUGGGGUAGUGGCUUACCAAGGCUUUGACUGGGUCGCGGCCUGAGAGGGCGACCGGCCACAUUGGGACUGAGAUACGGCCCAGACUCCUACGGGAGGCAGCAGUGGGGAAUAUUGCACAAUGGGCGGAAGCCUGAUGCAGCAACGCCGCGUGCGGGAGUCCUCACUUGGGGUUGUAAACCGCUUUCAGCAGGCUCGAAGCUUGUGGUGACGGUACCUGCAGAAGAAGCACCGGCUCCCUACGUC
Molecule: ribosomal RNA, 465 nt
Filed under: uncultured bacterium
Lineage: Bacteria
Description: partial 16S ribosomal RNA
Rfam family: Bacterial small subunit ribosomal RNA
Source: RNAcentral